Molecule: long non-coding RNA, 666 nt
Organism: Trichoplusia ni (cabbage looper)
Lineage: Eukaryota; Metazoa; Arthropoda; Insecta; Lepidoptera; Noctuidae
Exons: 3
Source: RefSeq, a predicted model, not a curated record
UAAAUAUAUUCUACCACGAAAGUAAAAUUUCGUUGUAUGUAAUAUACAAAAGCCGGUAAAAAUACUUACCUGUCAACAAGGAUAUUUAAAAGUUUAUGUAAGUAAUACUUUUUGUUUAAAACUUGUUAGGCAAAGACAAUAAUUUAUGACAGAACUCUGUAAGCUGUGGUAGCGUCAGACAAUCCUUGUUCUGAAUAACACUCCCUUUAUUAUUAUAAAAUAUUCAGUAUAAUGUUUAUAACAUUUUGCUUAGUUUGUAAUUUAUUUGAUAAUUAUGUAACCAACAGUUCAAACAGCAGGCAUCUGAAAUGACCCUAACCAAUGUGUCUAGAAAACCCUCUCGUCGGUACAUUUGGGGUACUGGGUAAACUUGUAUUCAAUAUAAUAGAAGCAGUCAUAAGGGCAUUGAUUGAAAUCACUAUCACGACGGCGACGUACACCGCAGCUACAGCUAGCUGUAUGAUGUUAACAGCUUUAUUUUUAAGGUAUGGGCUCUGCAGAGACGGUACUUGCUUCAACGAAGGCGUUUUUGGGAACUUUGUCAUCGUAGCCGGGUUUACCAUAGCUAUAUUUGCCGCUUACAACAUAUUUAAAAAAUUGUUUUAAAUUAAGUGUUUUAAUUGUAAGGUUAUGUACACAGCUUUUUAAUAAAGUAGUGAAAUGGAA